RNAcentral lists this long non-coding RNA (352 nucleotides) under Ornithorhynchus anatinus (platypus). Its description in RNAcentral is "lncRNA (ENSOANG00000047379.1)". Lineage: Eukaryota; Metazoa; Chordata; Mammalia; Monotremata; Ornithorhynchidae. The record is from RNAcentral.
AUGGUUCCGUCCGGCCCCUCCUCCCGGCUCGCGGGGCAGGCCGGGAAGGCGGCGGCGGCCGGGCCGGACCCCCGCCAGGUAGCGCGGCUGGCUUUGCGGCCUAGGGCGAGCAGGAGCCUCCCCGACCGAGCCUCCCGCCGGGCCAGCGCCGCUCCCGGGCCUCGGACCCCGAAAGCCCAAGGGCAUCGGGACCCUUUCCUCGGCGGCGGAAUACCCUAGCAGUGUCAGAGGAGACGCUUCGUAUCCUAGUCUCGUUUAAGGUAUUUGCGUUCUGUUAAACCGUUACGGACGAGUAAUGAUUUCAAUGUCGCCAUUCCACCUUCCCUUUUCCCCACAGUGCAUAAAUGUACUA